This 266-nucleotide ribosomal RNA is filed under the name Laribacter hongkongensis. Its description in RNAcentral is "partial 23S ribosomal RNA". It matches the Rfam family "Bacterial large subunit ribosomal RNA", at positions 2665 to 2925 of the family's 2925-position model. The record is from RNAcentral. Lineage: Bacteria; Pseudomonadati; Pseudomonadota; Betaproteobacteria; Neisseriales; Aquaspirillaceae.
AGGGGGGCUGCUCCUAGUACGAGAGGACCGGAGUGGACGCAUCUCUGGUGUACCGGUUGUGACGCCAGUCGCAUCGCCGGGUAGCUAUAUGCGGAAGAGAUAAACGCUGAAAGCAUCUAAGCGUGAAACUCGCCUCAAGAUGAGACUUUCCUGGAGACUUGAUCUCCCUGAAGGGCCGUGGAAGACCACCACGUUGAUAGGUCGGGUGUGGAAGCGCAGUAAUGCGUUAAGCUAACCGAUACUAAUUACCCGUGAGGCUUGAUCCU